RNAcentral lists this microRNA (24 nucleotides) under Pristionchus pacificus. RNAcentral's name for it is "ppc-miR-8255-3p". Lineage: Eukaryota; Metazoa; Nematoda; Chromadorea; Rhabditida; Neodiplogasteridae. The record is from miRBase by way of RNAcentral.
UUGGCCCAUGACUGGAGGUAUAGC